RNAcentral lists this ribosomal RNA (519 nucleotides) under uncultured bacterium. RNAcentral describes it as "bacterial SSU rRNA". It matches the Rfam family "Bacterial small subunit ribosomal RNA", at positions 8 to 518 of the family's 1533-position model. The record is from RNAcentral.
AGAGUUUGAUUCUGGCUCAGGAUGAACGCUAGCGAUAGGCUUAACACAUGCAAGGUCGAGGGGCAGCACGGGAGUAGCAAUACUUGGUGGCGACCGGCGCACGGGUGAGUAACGCGUAUGCAACCUACCUAUCAGAGGGGAAUAACCCGGCGAAAGUCGGACUAAUACCGCAUAAAACAGGGGCACCGCAUGGUGAUAUUUGUUAAAGAAAUUCGCUGAUAGAUGGGCAUGCGUUCCAUUAGGUAGUUGGUGAGGUAACGGCUCACCAAGCCGACGAUGGAUAGGGGAACUGAGAGGUUGGUCCCCCACACUGGUACUGAGACACGGACCAGACUCCUACGGGAGGCAGCAGUGAGGAAUAUUGGUCAAUGGGCGGGAGCCUGAACCAGCCAAGUCGCGUGAAGGAAAGAAGGAUCUAUGGUUCGUAAACUUCUUUUGCAGGGGAAUAAAGUGCAGGACGUGUCCUGUUUUGUAUGUACCCUGAGAAUAAGGAUCGGCUAACUCCGUGCCAGCAGCAGC